UACGGGGGGGGCAAGCGUUGUUCGGAAUUACUGGGCGUAAAGGGUUUGUAGGUGGCUUGCUAAGUCAGACGUGAAAUCCCUCAGCUUAACUGGGGAACUGCGUCUGAGACUGGCAAGCUUGAGUGCAGGAGAGGAACGCGGAAUUCCAGGUGUAGCGGUGAAAUGCGUAGAUAUCAGGAGGAACACCGGUGGCGAAGGCGGGUCUCUGGGCCGAAAUUGACGCUGAGGAGCGAAAGCGUGGGGAGCAAACAGG
RNAcentral lists this ribosomal RNA (253 nucleotides) under uncultured bacterium. Its description in RNAcentral is "partial 16S ribosomal RNA". It matches the Rfam family "Bacterial small subunit ribosomal RNA", at positions 524 to 776 of the family's 1533-position model. The record is from RNAcentral.